UACUACCGAAGCUACGGCAUCAGUAAUGAUGGGUAGGGGAGCUUCCCAUACGGGUUGAAGCAUGACCGUAAGGACAUGUGGACAGUAUGGGAGUGAGAAUGUUGGCAUGAGUAGCGAGAUGUGGGUGGGAAUCCCACAGGCCGUAAACCCAAGGUUUCCAGGGGAAGGUUCGUCCGCCCUGGGUUAGUCGGGCCCUAAGCUUAGGCCGAAAGGCGUCGGUGAUGGACAACAGGUUGAUAUUCCUGUACUACCGAUAACCGGUUGAGAGCAGGGAUGACACCGUAGGAUAAGCUAAGCACCCUGUUGGUUAUGUGUGCCCAAGCAUUGGUCACUUAUAC
Molecule: ribosomal RNA, 338 nt
Filed under: Clostridioides difficile
Lineage: Bacteria; Bacillati; Bacillota; Clostridia; Peptostreptococcales; Peptostreptococcaceae
Description: bacterial LSU rRNA
Rfam family: Bacterial large subunit ribosomal RNA
Source: RNAcentral